Panicum virgatum (switchgrass) is the source of this 1559-nucleotide RNA transcript. It is a transcript of the gene named BTB/POZ domain-containing protein POB1-like, with no coding region annotated. The record is from RefSeq and is a predicted model, not a curated record. NCBI's taxonomy places the organism in Eukaryota, Viridiplantae, Streptophyta, Magnoliopsida, Poales, Poaceae. The transcript is spliced from 6 exons.
CCCUUCUCCAGUCUUCACACAACCUGCUCGCUCUCCCGCACCCGCAUCGCGAUUCCCUUGUCCAAGCUUCGCUAGGGUUGGGGUUUGGCCUCCGUCUGCCCCGUCGAUGGCUGCUGCGGCGGCCGCGCGUCAGAGGUGAGGCGAGGCGAGUCGCGUGGUUGAUUGGUUCGAGGAGGAGGAGGAAGCAGAGGGAUGGACCCGGACUUCUCGCGGGCGAGCGGGGGGCCGAGCUUCGAGUUCGCCUUCAACUCGGUCAACUUCUCGGACCGGGUGCUGCAGAUCGAGAUUGUCGCCGGGGACGAUGCCCCCGGGGCCAAGGGCGCCGCCGGCGAGGGCUGCUCAUCGCUCGCCGACUGGGCGCGCCAACGCAAGCGGCGACGGGAGGAGCUCCGACGCGGCAAAGAAUCGGGAGCAAACUGCAAAGUUGAAGCUGAAGAAUGUGAUACCUAUGAGGAAGGCAAUGAGGAGCCUGUAGCUAUGAUAGAAGAAUCUCCACCUGAUAUUAAGCAAGAUGGUGAGGAUGGAGAAAGCAGUGAUUCAUCCUGGAGUAUGGAAUGUACUCAGAUUUUGAAAGUAAAGUCUAUCUAUAUCAGCUCUGCAAUUUUAGCUGCAAAGAGCCCUUUCUUUUACAAGCUUUUCUCAAAUGGAAUGAAAGAAUCUGAUCAGAGGCAUGCGACUCUUAGAAUAACUGCUUCAGGAAGUGCAAUACAUUGGACUGGUGAAGUGGUGAUGGAUGAAUGUCAGUCUUUUGAAGCGCGUCAGCUGAUGAGAUCGAGGAUGCCGGAGAGGAUGCAUUCGAUGAGUUCAUGUUUUUUCAUAGUGGAAUUGUUUGAACAGCAAAAAAGGGGAACAACCAAAAAGGGUUGAGAUCGAGGAUGCGGGAGAGGAUGCAUUCGAGUUCAUGUUCCAGGGCGAACAGGAACAUAAGCUAGAAUGCACCCGCCCCCGAUCCUCGAACUCAUCCUGGCACCUGUAAGCACCUCUCCCUAUUUAAGUCAGUCUUCAUCUCCUUUGCUCAGCGGUACGGUACUAAAGUUCAAGUCCUGGAAAAAAAUCUCAAAGAACGCUUUGUUUGUUUAUUCUAGGGCCACUGCCGGUUCCUGUAAAGAACCGGCAGUGAAUGUUUCACUGCCGGUUAUUGUGCACAACCGGCUGUGAAUUCAUAUGUCACUGCCGGUUUGACGGGAUUCCCCCAAUUUUUUUGGCGCGCCCCCGAUUGAACCGGCAGUGAGGUUGGUUCAAUGCCGGCUCCCGCCGAACCGGCACUGAUGAGCCGGCAUUGAUGACCAGUUCUGUGGUAGUGUUAAGAGCGGAGCUUUCGAAUGACAAUGUAAAGGGAUCCAGCUAGUUUAUUACGCCAUUUCACUAGUGAAGUCAUCAGCAGUAAUACUUCACUGUUAGUUGGUAACUAACGACAAAUUAGUAGCUGGUCCACUUCUUGUACGAUCAAAGAAAAAACUCCUUCACUGUUCAUCUCCCAGGCAUGGAACACAAUGGUGUGUUGUUGUAUAUUUGCAUUAAAUUCAUUAUUUCUUCAUUUGCGGCAAGAGCUGUGAUUA